ACCUGGCUGGCUCAGUUGGUAGAGCAUGCGACUCUUGAUCUCAGGGUCAUGAGUUUGAGCCCCAUGUUCAGUG
Molecule: transfer RNA, 73 nt
Filed under: Ailuropoda melanoleuca (giant panda)
Lineage: Eukaryota; Metazoa; Chordata; Mammalia; Carnivora; Ursidae
Rfam family: tRNA
About the family: Transfer RNA (tRNA) molecules are approximately 80 nucleotides in length. Their secondary structure includes four short double-helical elements and three loops (D, anti-codon, and T loops). Further hydrogen bonds mediate the characteristic L-shaped molecular structure. tRNAs have two regions of fundamental functional importance: the anti-codon, which is responsible for specific mRNA codon recognition, and the 3' end, to which the tRNAs corresponding amino acid is attached (by aminoacyl-tRNA synthetases). tRNAs cope with the degeneracy of the genetic code in two manners: having more than one tRNA (with a specific anti-codon) for a particular amino acid; and 'wobble' base-pairing, i.e. permitting non-standard base-pairing at the 3rd anti-codon position.
Source: Rfam by way of RNAcentral